AUGUUAGCAUAUAAUUAGAAUUAAAGUAAAGAUUAUAGUGAGGGAAUAUGGUUAAAUUCCAUAGCAGCCCCCGCUACUGUAAGCAUGGACGAUUGAUAUAAUAUGCCACUCAAAAUGUUUGGGGAAGGAAUAUCAAGAGAAUGAUAUGUAAGUCAGGAUAUCUCAUAUAAUCUUCUAAUCUAU
Clostridium fallax is the source of this 183-nucleotide non-coding RNA. NCBI's taxonomy places the organism in Bacteria, Bacillati, Bacillota, Clostridia, Eubacteriales, Clostridiaceae. The record is from Rfam.